UAAAAUGGCGGUACGUGGACAGAGUCGU
Molecule: small RNA, 28 nt
Filed under: Bombyx mori (domestic silkworm)
Lineage: Eukaryota; Metazoa; Arthropoda; Insecta; Lepidoptera; Bombycidae
Description: piRNA piR-bmo-1772804
Source: RNAcentral